RNAcentral lists this long non-coding RNA (6913 nucleotides) under Phoenix dactylifera (date palm). Its description in RNAcentral is "long non-coding RNA (PDAC_LNC002227)". Lineage: Eukaryota; Viridiplantae; Streptophyta; Magnoliopsida; Arecales; Arecaceae. The record is from RNAcentral.
UACUGACAAAAGCCUUCGUGCAUUACGAACAGUUAAAUAGCUUCUUGACUUAUUUGAAAGCAAACCUGUUUGCAUUCUUCCAUUCCAUAGUUUGCGUUCUUCAUUUUUGACGACGUUGAGGAAUUUCUAUCAACUUUCUGUUACCUAAUCUUGAUAAAUUUCCUUGCUUUGAUCUUGGGUCAGUCUGUAUCGUGGAAAGGUUGGUUUGGACGCUGCCGAGGCACAGCACCUGAUGGAAGGUCUGGACUGGCAGGGUGCUGUUAAGGACAUACGUGCUUCAGUUAAUUGGCUUAAGGCACAUGGUUCAUCGAAGGUGAGUGCACGGAAUAUCUCUUUUUGUCUGAUGAUUCGAUGGUUUUUGUUACAUUGGCUGAUGAUAGUGCUGUAAGGGUUAAAUUUAUGUAUGUGUUUUGGAAGUUGUCAGCCUGUUAAAUAGCCCAAUAGAUCAGAUACGCUAAGGUAUCAACAACAGUAAAAUUGAACACCUUGUAAGUUCAAACUGCAAAUGAAAUUGACUGUCAAACCAUGCCAGCUAAGUUAGAGAGAGUGACCGUACGGACUUAGAAAUUUUAAUUAUGAUGCUUACAUAGAGCAAAUUUCAGUUCCGAAAAUAUGACUUUUAAAAUACUUAAAUGAACAAAUUAACUGUGGACCCUUCUUUUUCCCUGAUAGAUCCAAGUUUCUGUCUUGUAUAUUGAUAAUUCGCUUUUUCGGGUGCAUCUAUUGCAGGGAGUACAUAGCCUAAUCUCUCUUCGGCUCCUUCCAUUUUGUGUAUCGAGAAACAAACAUUUUGCUCAUUUGACUACCACGAAUGGACUUCUGAAUACACAUUAUAUUGAUUAUAAGCCUAUGAAAUAUGUAAUUUCAUUUAAGUAUGCAUGGGUUGAUGAAAGUUGAUUCUGCCAGUGCUAAAACCAUUUGCUUAUAGAUUCAAAUGAUUAUGCUCCACUGAAUUGGCAUGGUUAGUACGUGUAGAGAUAUUUUGGUCUUUUAAUCAAUGAAUUAUAUAAAUUGGUGUAAUGUAAUUAUUACAUUAAAAUGUUUUAUAUUGAAAGCGCCAAAUUGCUCUUAUGUGUAUAACCUGUGCCUAUUCAAGACACUGAGGCAUUCUUCUCCCUUGAUAAAGAAAAUUUUGAAUGCCUUUGCUUGGGCAUUUUGACUCUACAUCCAUCCAUGCAGACAUAGAUACAUAUAUGUGUCUAUAUGCAUAUCUAUGUGCAUGUGUACCACAGUAAUUAAAAGAAUAUUUAGUAUUAGUUCCAGCUAUAAUGUUUUUAUCGGCCAGCUUUGAUAUGGAAAUCUCAAUUUUUUGUGUAUAUUUCUUGUAUUUUUAUCCAAACUCCCCUUCAAUGAAUGUGGGGAAUCACAAUCCACAUUUGUAAUUGUAAGUAUUAAUAUUACAAUUCAUACUAUCCAGAUAGGCAGUUCUCAAUGUCUUUAGUAAGGGACUUCAGUAAUUAGACGUGUUGACACACCAAUGUAAGAUGCUAAGGCAAGAUGCUCGAUUAUCAACUAUAUAUGUGUAAUUUGUAUGUUAUCUAUGCACCCUGAAGUAAUGUUAAAUUUGUUUAUCACAGUUUUUCUUUUCCUUUUUUAAGAAAAUUGAAAAUAACAUGAGAUGAUUGAAUUGAAAAUGCAGCUGUAUGUUUUCUCCUUAAUUUGAUUAGUUUGUUGUAUGAGGGCUCAUUUGCAAGGAUGUAAGGGAUUGCUUGUAGGAGAGGCAUACAAAAAGUUCUAAUGUUACUUUGAUCAUGGCAAGUUGGUUAAAAGUCUCUUUUUUGUUUUACUUUGAUCAUAGUAUAUUUUAUUUUUAUUCAGUUGAGUGAAGAUGUUGCAAGAUUAAAGAAUUUGCAGGUUCCUUGCAGGUUUUUCAAGGCUUGCCACUUACAUGCAGAGUUAGUGUUGUUGCUUUAAUUCCACCACCACCCAUUCUUAUCGCAAUAAUUGAUGGAUCUUUUAAAAAUACAAUUAGAUAUAUCAUUUUUUCUUAUGUAUCAAUCUUUCCCCUUAUGUCAUUCGUUUGAGAUGAUCAUAUAAUAGAAGGGAAUAUUGUUAGUUGAAGAUCCUAUAUUAGAGUGGGUAUACGGAGAGAAAGCAAAGUAAUUUACGUUAAGUCUGCUAAUUUUUAUUUUAUCUGUAGUGCUGGUUUUGAUGUCCUAUAUUGAGUAGCAUUAGUGUGUAAGGUACUAUUUUAGAUCUAUUGAGCAUGGAAGUCCUAAAGUCACAUCUUCUAACUGUGGAAAGUUUUAGAUGUAUAUUUAUAUGGGACUCCAUGGGUAUCCAAGAUUUGUAUAUUUUUUUAAAAAAAUUGGGUACCUAUUUGCAAGAUUAAUUAUUUAGUUUAAAGAGUCCUAAUUGACUCAAAUUACAAAAUAUGGGGAGGCCUACUAGGCUUGUCGGAUAGAGGGUUUGAGUAGCUAGGAGUCUGACAUUCUAUUUUGACAAAGGAAAAAAAAGAAUAAAGAAAAACAGCCAGGUUUGACUGCCCUUCAUCUCCUAUAGACCUCUCGUAUUCUCUUGAUUAAUCUCUCCUUCUCGCUGUCCUUCUCAUCUCUUCUUUUUUCUUUACUUUCUUCCAGUUGCUAUAUACUCUUAUACUGGUGCAAUUUUAACUUCCUUGCCAUUUUUUUCAAAUUCUGGACUUAAUUUCAUAUAUCAUAUGAAUCAAGGAAUUAGGGUCUUUCUAUUUCUUUUUAAGUUCUAAACUUAAUUUUAGGGAUCAUAAAUCUUCGUUCACCCUUUCAGUGUUGCUUUGAUAAAUCUAUUAAGGAAUUCAGUUGUUCUGCAGUUAAAAUGAUGCUUUUGCAUAUAUCAUCCCUGUAAACUAAGGUUAAAACUUCUUUCUGAAGGAUUCUAAACUUAAUUCAUUAUGAACCUUCCCAAAAUUUAUAUAAAUUUGAGUUCUAGUUUCCUGACUUCCUUUGGACUCUCAAAAUUAUUUUGUAGGUUUAGAAGUCUUCUUGGUUGUGAAUAGAAAUCAAAUAGAGCCCUUAUUUCUUGUAGCAGCAAUUACAAGAGAGGAAGGUGAUUUCUUCAUUCAGACCCUACUUUUCCCUAGUUUGACAUCCCAUCCAUGCAUAUGCGGGCCAUCCCAGUUGAUCUUACAAUCAUUUUGACAGUCCUUCUCUGUCACUCUUUUCUGUUCAUUAAGAUCCUUUCAUUUAUCUCCCUUUGUUUCUCUUUUUUCCCUUCGUCAUAUUACCAAAUGAGAAAUUAAGCAUCAAGACCUUUCUCAAAAUACCAAAGACCAAGAAGAUCUUUGGGCUGGUCGCAUUGAUUUGAUUUAUCAACAAUGAUUUGAAGUCAUUGAAAGCUGUGAGCAGAUAACCACGACACCAUCAGGCNUUUAAAACCUCCCUGAGGCUGAAGCGCAAAUCAAGUUGAAGAAGAUCAAUGACCGCCGCAUGAAGUGAUCUCACUUGAAGCUUCGCUAUAUGAAGAGCGCAUGGUUGGAGAAUAACAUGUUCAUUCCAUUAAAAGAUCGAAUCUUUCACUCCAAUAUUGAAAGAUCAAAUCUUUGACUAUCAACAAUUUGGGCAACUAACACCAGAUCUGAUUGUUGUUCAUCCACUAGAUAGACAGUUCGAGAGAAGAUUGACUUAUUCUACAAUCAAAGUUGACAUCCAAGGAUAUGAUGGCCCAUUCCAUGCAAGAUUUUUAGAGUAUUAACCAUGUGAAGAGAACAAGAACAUCUAUUUUUGAAAAUGAGCAAGAGUGAGAGAGGGAGGGAAGGAGGGGAAGAGAGAGAGAGAGAGUACCAAAUAACACAUCAGUUAAGGUGACUGGUAAUAUGUACUUGAAAAUUUCUUUGACAAUCGAUGUCAUUAUUCUAUUUAAGUUUUAGCUGCUUGUUUUCUUAUUGCAUGUCUUCUCUUGAUAUCCUCCAAGAGCUAAUAAACUUUUUGCUUACUGUUUCUUUUAAGAAUAAAAAAUUAAUCAAAGCAUAAUGAACAAGUUAUGAUUUAUUUUGUUAAUCAUUAUGCAAAGAUGUUAGUUAAAAUUAAAUAAUUACCUGACCACAUAAUUAUCUCAUAAAUUCAUUCAAAUAUUUCACCAUGAUAGAGCAUGUAAGAGGCCAGUUAAUAAUUUUGAAAUUAUUGGUUUCGAUGGAAGGUUUUAAGUUCCAACCCAUGACAGGCCAGUACUAGCAUUGGCACUAGGGCAAGACAGCACUCAUUAUAUUCUUUUUAUUUAAUUUCUAAAUGAAAGGAGACAUUAGUUUAUAUUUUAUUUUUUUAUUUUUCAUUUUUUGAGUAUGGCUUGAGUCUUGACACAUGCAUACCAUGCCUGUGCUAGCAACACCUAAAUCCUUGCUUCUAUAUCUUAUUUAUGUCAUGAUGAUAUUAGUCAGUGUGGUCUAUAAUGUAUGUGCGGUGUUCGCCUUUCUUUGUAUUCAGACUUUAGCUUCCUAUUUCAGAGUUGGUGGAUAUCACAUUGGCUUUGUCAUGCAAUAGAGAAUGCAAAUUCUGUUCUUGUUUUAUAUAAUGCAUUAUUGAUCUGUGUCACUUCUCUUUCUAUUUGCUGGUUUGGAUAGAAAUGUGAAGAAAAAUUAACACUUGAACCUAUUAGAAGGAAAAUGAAUGGUUUUCACUUUAAAUGGGAUCUAGUUGAGGGUUUUCUCAUUCUUAGCUUACCAUUUCUUCUGUUGCAUAGGUUGGUGUAACUGGAUUUUGUAUGGGGGGUGCUUUAUCCAUUGCAAGUGCAGUUCUGGUCCCUGAAGUUGAUGCUGUUGUUGCCUUCUAUGGAGUUCCUUCAUCAGAACUUGCUGAUCCAUCUCAGGCAAAGGCUCCUGUGCAGGCUCACUUUGGGGAGCUUGAUAACUAUGUUGGAUUUUCUGACAUCAGUGUAUUGUCCUCCUUCACCCACUUGAGCUUUUUAUAUGUCUGUUUUUGAGUUACAAAUUUGUGCUUUCUUUAUCUGAUGAACAAUUAUAUUCUUUUAACUGAAUCAUUGGAAGAAACUUUACAUGCAUUAUUCGAAGUGUCAUCUGAUCAGUUUCAUUUAAUUUUCUCAUAGCACAAGUAAAUACGAACAUUGAUUCCGGCAAUUAAUCAUCUUUUAUACUCUUAUGAAUAAGCUUCAUGACAUUUAGUAGAUUUUAACAGAUAAAUUUAAUCAGCAUUAAUAUCUUUGUGUGGCACUGCAUUAUGAUCAUUUCCUCAUAUGGUCAUAGUUGGGUCAACUCAAGUUUCUGUUCUUCCAUAUAAAAACUAAAGAAGUCAGGAGAAUGAAACAUUUAAGUUUAUAAGGUAGAGGUGUAGUACGAGAUUUCAGAUUUUGAUGCUCCCAGUGAAAAUGGAGACAGCAUAGGACAUACUCAUACGCUAACAUUUAUACACUAUAUUUAUAUUCUAAACAAUUUAUCUCUGAAUUAAGGAUAACUUGAAUAAAGCAAGCACUGUAUCACACUUUAAAAGUAGGCAUGCUUGUCAUUUUCUAAGGCUGAUGGUAGAUUUUUAUAUGUUUUACCGAUAAUUUACAUCCAUGUUGAAAACUUACAUGUGGUGAACAAGAAUCAGUGUUCAUGAAUUAUUGGACUUCAACCUUGGAUUUGCCAUGCCCACUGUUCUUCCAGAUCCAUGUUAUCCACCUUAGCUCUAAUAUUCAGCAAUUCUUUGUGUGCAUUCAGUAAAACACAUAAUUUAAGAUGUUUAUGGUGGUUUCUUUUGGUCUACUUGUUUUAGUGACUGUUAGAGCUCAUUAUAGUUGAAAACUCAGUGCUAAAAAAAUAUUAGCCAGUUCUAACAUUUUAAAGUGCAUUUUGGUCGUUAUGAUCAACAACCAUGGUAUAAAUUAGAUGGUAGCAUCAUUUGUUUGGAAGUAAUUAGGGCAUGGCUUAUUUUUCACUUUGCUAGAAGAAUAAUAAAUUAUAGAAUAUGUUUCAUCAGAAUAAGAAUUAUAUUUGAUGAUCUGAGGCAUUGUUCUGACGCACCUGCACUCUUUCCUUCUUUUCAGUUUGUACAUGGUUCUGAUCCUUAUUCAUAUUUGCAGUAUCAGUUUGUCAUGCUUGUAGCAUCAGCCAUGCUUUGCCGGCUAUUGUUGGCUGAUUUGUAAAUACAAGAAAAUUGUUUGUAUUGUUGACGCAUAAAAGUUAUCUGAAUGCUUGACAUAGGUUAAUCCUUGAUUUAAUUUCAGGCAGCAAAAUCCUUAGAGAAAAAGCUGAAGUCCUCUGGAGUUCCAUAUGAGGUUCAUACCUAUCCUGGAUGUGCUCAUGCCUUUAUGAACACAUCGCCUGAUGGCAUCAAGAGGAGGAAGGGAAUGGGAAUGGACGAUGAGAACCCUGCAGCUGUAGAUUUGGCUUGGUCUCGCUUCCGUGCUUGGAUGGGUGCUUACUUGCUGUCUCCUUGAGUCUUUCUUCCAGGACUUGUUGACCCAGUCAAAAGUCAAAGCUGCUUAAUAAUUUUGACAUUGUGACUCAGUGUUGUUUGUGGUAUCCUUGUGGCUGCUCUGUGAAUUCCACUGGUCGUGGGGAGGACGCUGCCGAGGCACAGCACCUGAUGGAAGGUCUGGACUGGCAGGGUGCUGUUAAGGACAUACGUGCUUCAGUUAAUUGGCUUAAGGCACAUGGUUCAUCGAAGGUUGGUGUAACUGGAUUUUGUAUGGGGGGUGCUUUAUCCAUUGCAAGUGCAGUUCUGGUCCCUGAAGUUGAUGCUGUUGUUGCCUUCUAUGGAGUUCCUUCAUCAGAACUUGCUGAUCCAUCUCAGGCAAAGGCUCCUGUGCAGGCUCACUUUGGGGAGCUUGAUAACUAUGUUGGAUUUUCUGACAGUCGUGAACUUGGUCAUGCAUCAAGUAUCUGUCUGAAGUAUGACCCUUGUAAUUAUGUGAAUGCCCCUAUGUGAAUGUACUGCAGAUAAAUACUUAAUUUGCAAGUUUUGGAGUGUGAUGUUGCAAUGAAAAUGAUCCAGGUGUUUGU